RNAcentral lists this transfer RNA (74 nucleotides) under Leucobacter sp. cx-42. Its description in RNAcentral is "tRNA-Leu". It matches the Rfam family "tRNA". Rfam says of the family: Transfer RNA (tRNA) molecules are approximately 80 nucleotides in length. Their secondary structure includes four short double-helical elements and three loops (D, anti-codon, and T loops). Lineage: Bacteria; Bacillati; Actinomycetota; Actinomycetes; Micrococcales; Microbacteriaceae. The record is from RNAcentral.
CCCCCAAUAGCCCAACUGGCAGAGGCAGCUGACUUAAAAUCAGCAAAGUCUGGGUUCGAAUCCCAGUUGGGGGA